This 253-nucleotide ribosomal RNA is filed under the name uncultured bacterium. RNAcentral's name for it is "partial 16S ribosomal RNA". It matches the Rfam family "Bacterial small subunit ribosomal RNA", at positions 524 to 776 of the family's 1533-position model. The record is from RNAcentral.
UACGUAGGGUGCGAGCGUUGUCCGGAUUCACUGGGCGUAAAGGGUGCGUAGGCGGUCGGGUAAGUCUGAUGUGAAAUCUCACAGCUUAACUGUGAAACUGCAUUGGAUACUAUCCGGCUCGAGGAAUGGAGGGGAGACUGGAAUACUUGGUGUAGCAGUGAAAUGCGUAGAUAUCAAGUGGAACACCAGUGGCGAAGGCGAGUCUCUGGACAUUUCCUGACGCUGAGGCACGAAAGCCAGGGGAGCAAACGGG